This 216-nucleotide ribosomal RNA is filed under the name Thunnus albacares (yellowfin tuna). Its description in RNAcentral is "partial small subunit ribosomal RNA". The record is from RNAcentral. Lineage: Eukaryota; Metazoa; Chordata; Actinopteri; Scombriformes; Scombridae.
GUCGGUAAAACUCGUGCCAGCCACCGCGGUUAUACGAGAGGCCCAAGUUGACAGACACCGGCGUAAAGCGUGGUUAAGGUACACGAAAACUAAAGCCGAACACCUUCAGGGCAGUUAUACGCAUCCGAAGGCACGAAGCCCCACCACGAAAGUGGCUUUAUGAACCCUGACCCCACGAAAGCUAUGACACAAACUGGGAUUAGAUACCCCACUAUG